RNAcentral lists this non-coding RNA (45 nucleotides) under Schistosoma curassoni. The record is from RNAcentral. Lineage: Eukaryota; Metazoa; Platyhelminthes; Trematoda; Strigeidida; Schistosomatidae.
AUCCAGCUGAUGAGUCCCAAACAAGACGAAACGCGCGUCCUGGAU